This is a non-coding RNA of Capsicum annuum, 98 nucleotides long. NCBI's taxonomy places the organism in Eukaryota, Viridiplantae, Streptophyta, Magnoliopsida, Solanales, Solanaceae. The record is from Rfam.
GGUCCCUUUCGGAACAUCCAUAAAAUUGGAACGAUACUGAGAAGAUUAACAUGGUCUCUGCAUAGGGAUGACAUGCAGUGGUGGAGCCACAUACAAUU